This is a long non-coding RNA of Gorilla gorilla gorilla (western lowland gorilla), 869 nucleotides long. RefSeq lists it as uncharacterized. The record is from RefSeq and is a predicted model, not a curated record. The transcript has 4 exons. Lineage: Eukaryota; Metazoa; Chordata; Mammalia; Primates; Hominidae.
GUCUUUUCUGGCAGAUUACUUCUGUGAGCAACUGGGUCUCUCAGUUCUUUGGGAGCACCCUGGGAAACUGUGUGGCUAUGACUUGGAGCUGCUCACCAGUUCCAGUCAUUCUGUGGUUGAGAGCUGCUCCCUAUGGAUGUUAAUUCUUCUCCAUUUUAGAUUUUCCACAGGUGUGGGCCCCAUUAGCUCUGGCCACCUGAGAAAGCCCUCAGGCAAAGAGUCGCAGGUGAAAGCCAGCAGUUAGAGGUUCACAGAAAUGAGUGCAGAAGCAUCUUCAGUUGGAGAGCCAUUGCCUCUUGCUGUGAAAUAUUUGGGAAUCUUCAGAAACCAUGCAGAAUAACCUGCUAAAGCUGAGCUGGGACUCUGCCUGGAUAUAACUUAUGGCCUAUUCUAUAUGGAAAGUUGGUUUUCUCACAGUUCCACUCCCUUCCCAGAUAUCAGCAAAUGGCCCUCCUAGCCCAGAAGUCUCCAGAGAGGGUUUUAUUUUGUCAGUCAAGCUGGAAUGCAGUGGCGUGAACAUUGCUUACUGCAACUUCAAUCUCCUGAGGUCAAACAAUCUUCUCACCUCAGCCUCGCAAGCAGCUAGGGCUAAAGGCAUGUGCCACCACGCCCCACUAAUUUUUUAAUUUUUCUUUUGUGGAGACGCAGUCUUGUUAUCUUGAACAGGCUGGUCUUGAACUCUUGGAGUCAAGCAAUCCUUCUGCCUCAGACUCUCAAAGUGCUGGGAUUACAGGCAUGAGCCACCACAUUCAGCCAGGAAAAGUUUUUGUACAUUUAAAAAAUUAUAGGAUAUUUGUGUAUAUAGCUUUGCUGGUUUGACUUCCUAGAAUAGCUCCCAGGAACACAAAGUACUUAAUUUAUUAGUAUAA